This 497-nucleotide ribosomal RNA is filed under the name uncultured bacterium. Its description in RNAcentral is "partial 16S ribosomal RNA". It matches the Rfam family "Bacterial small subunit ribosomal RNA", at positions 28 to 507 of the family's 1533-position model. The record is from RNAcentral.
GAUGAACGCUGGCGGCGUGCCUAAUACAUGCAAGUCGAGCGAACGGACGAGAAGCUUGCUUCUCUGAUGUUAGCGGCGGACGGGUGAGUAACACGUGGAUAACCUACCUAUAAGACUGGGAUAACUGCGGGAAACCGUAGCUAAUAACGGAUAAUAUUUUGAACCGCAUGGUUCAAAAGUGAAAGACGGUCUUGCUGUAACUUAUAGAUGGAUCCGCGCUGCAUUAGCUAGUUGGUAAGGGAACGGCUUACCAAGGCAACGAUGCAUAGCCGACCUGGGAGGGUGAUCGGCCACACUGGAACUGAGACACGGUCAGGACUCCUACGGGAGGCAGCAGUGGGGAAUCUUCCCCAAUGGGCGAAAGCCUGACGGAGCAACGCGGCGUGAGUGAUGAAGGUCUUCGGAUCGUAAAACUCUGUUAUUAGGGAAGAACAUAUGUGUAAGUAACUGUUCACAUCUUGACGGUACCUAAUCAGAAAGCCACGGCUAACUACGUG